AACGAACGCUGGCGGCAGGCCUAACACAUGCAAGUCGAGCGCCCCAGCGAUGGGGAGCGGCGGACGGGUGAGUAACGCGUGGGAACGUGCCUCUUGCUACGGAAUAGCCUCGGGAAACUGGGAGUAAUACCGUAUGUGCCCUACGGGGGAAAGAUUUAUCGGCAAGAGAUCGGCCCGCGUUGGAUUAGGUAGUUGGUGGGGUAAUGGCCUACCAAGCCGACGAUCCAUAGCUGGGUUUGAGAGGAUGAUCAGCCACACUGGGACUGAGACACGGCCCAGACUCCUACGGGAGGCAGCAGUGGGGAAUCUUAGACAAUGGGCGCAAGCCUGAUCUAGCCAUGCCGCGUGAGCGAUGAAGGCCUUAGGGUUGUAAAGCUCUUUCAGUGGGAAGAUAAUGACUGUACCCACAGAAGAAGCCCCGGCUAACUCCGUGCCAGCAGCCGCGGUAAGGCACGACUGU
Molecule: ribosomal RNA, 460 nt
Filed under: uncultured bacterium
Lineage: Bacteria
Description: bacterial SSU rRNA
Rfam family: Bacterial small subunit ribosomal RNA
Source: RNAcentral